This 374-nucleotide ribosomal RNA is filed under the name uncultured bacterium. RNAcentral describes it as "bacterial SSU rRNA". It matches the Rfam family "Bacterial small subunit ribosomal RNA", at positions 29 to 429 of the family's 1533-position model. The record is from RNAcentral.
AACGAACGCUGGCGGCAGGCCUAAAACAUGCAAGUCGAGCGGGCAUAGCAAUAUGUCAGCGGCGGACGGGCGAAUAACACGUGGGAACAUGCCCUUUGGUACGGAACAACUCAGGGAAACUUGAGCUAAUACCGUAUGUGCCGGUAACGGGAAAGAUUUAUCGCCAAAGGAUUGGCCCGCGUCCGAUUAGCUAGUUGGUGAGGUAACGGCUCACCAAGGCGACGAUCGGUAGCUGGUUUGAGAGAACGAUCAGCCACACUGGGACUGAGACACGGCCCAGACUCCUACGGGAGGCAGCAGUUGGGAAUCUUGGACAAUGGGGGAAACCCUGAUCCAGCCAUGCCGCGUGAGCGAUGAAGGCCUUCGGUUGUAAG